Long non-coding RNA from Rhododendron vialii, 3777 nucleotides. RefSeq lists it as uncharacterized. The record is from RefSeq and is a predicted model, not a curated record. The transcript is spliced from 4 exons. Lineage: Eukaryota; Viridiplantae; Streptophyta; Magnoliopsida; Ericales; Ericaceae.
GCCAGUUCUCUUCUCUCUCUCUCAUUUUUUUCGUUGCUCUCGCUCUUCUCUCCAACCCUAAAAACCCCCAAGACUUCAACCCAAAAUUGAAGUCCAAUACUCGCAAAUCUCGGAAACACAAAGAAGAAGCACAACCUACGCAGAGAAGGCUACAUAUCAGCAAUGUACUAAAAAUCGCUAGGUUAGACAGGCGGGAGAGGGGCGCCUAGGCGCCGACUAGUUGGCCGACUAACGCCUAGGCUACUUGGCUAUCUAAUUUAGGCAUCGGACCACCGCCUAGCGCCGAGGCAGAGACCAAUCAGCCGCCUUUUAGCACUGCAUAUAAUUCCCAACAAAGUGGCAUCCGGACAAUUUUGGGUUUCCCAGCAUUUGGAGAUUUCGCUCUUUGAGAAGAACGUGGUACCAUGGCACUAUGGCAGGCGAGGGAGAUCCAUAAAUGAAAGACAAGAGCAAGGCUCUCUCCUCAGAGGUUUUUUCUCGCUACCCACUUUUACGCUGGGAUCAGUACUACCGUGGGCAAGAGAGAUGCAUGUGGGUUAAGCCAUUCCCAUCCCAAGUGGUGGCCCAAUUCGGCCUGGCCCGGUCAGGAAGAGAUUCACAUUGAGACUACUGCUAUCUGGGAAUGAUUUCCGGGGUGUGUGUCGGCCUACAACUCUUAUGAUUUUGGACUAGAUGAGAUAAGCUUAAGCUUGGUUAGAUUAUGGUCUGGUAUUUUGAAUUUUGAAAUUGUGUCGUGUUGGUCUAUUUUGUCUACUUCUUGGAUUUGGGCUUGAGGCUUGAGAUAUGAAUGUUUCACUCACUACAACAAAUACUACUUUUAAUAGCAUAAGUUAAUAGCGUUUUUUUUAAAUGCUAUUGUAGAGAGGAAAUUAUAGCGUUGAACCAUUAAGUCUAAAGGAAACACUCGCGCCCUAAUUUAUUAUAGCGUUCCAGAAGUCUUCAACAACGUUCCACUCUUUUUCAAAAUGAAAGACUGCAUUCCACGCUUCCACCAAAAUUAUAAGCGCCAAUUGUUGCCCCCAAAAUCGCACUCUGCCCUUCCUGAAAAUUUCAAUCGGUUCCACCAAAACUAUAGGCACCAGAUCUGCCAAUUGUUUCGUGCGAGUUGCCGCAAGAUUUCUGUGCAAACUGGUGCUGGUUUCUAAUGGAUCGAUCUUUUAGGUAUUCUAGGGUUUUAAUCAAGAGGAACAGGUUUGUCCAUUGUUCUCUAUUUCUCCUAAUUUCCAAUCGAUUAACCUCUGUUUCUUAUUAAUCGCCUCAUCUUCUUCAUACUUCUGCUUCCUCAUUCCAUAGUCAGAGGAGAAUCAAAGCAAUAUUCGGUAAUAUUGCUCCAGUUGAAGCAAAUAUUCAUUGCUUGGAGAAUCCUUACCAGGUUUGAUUUGAUUUUUUCAUUCAGUUGUUGCCCAAAUACAAGGCUAGGGUUUUAAUCAGCAUGUAUUAGUUUGUGAUAAGUGAUAACCAUCUAAGGAUUUUCACAGAUACAAGGCUAGGGUUUUAAUCGGCAUGUAUUAGUUUGUGAUAACCAUCGAAGGAUUUGCACAGAUAAUGCACUUAAAGGGUUUGGAUUUAAUUUAUCGAAGUAUCAGUUUUCAUUCCGAAAAAAUAUUGGAGCUUUUGUGUUGACUCAUUCCAAACAAUUCUCUAUUUUUCUUGAAAUUCUAUAUUUGUAAUUGAUACUGUAUUGGGGCUUUUGUUUAGGUUUUUGGUGGUCUAAUGAUUUUUGCAAAAGGAAUUUUUAACAAAAACAAAGAGAAAUUCUGAAAAAUUCCCUUGCUAUUUAUGACUAAUGACCUCGUAUUGGUGAAUAUCAGAAGUAUUCUGCAUAUGACUUAGUUGAUUGGCUUCUAUUGAAACAAAAAGUAAAAGUUUUGGAGAGAAAACACAUCAGAGCUAGAUGGUGAACAUCGUAAUAUGCACUUUGACAUCGCGUUGCUAAUAAUUUUGAAGUAGCUUCACCAUUUCUGCCGAGAUUUCGAGAUGAUUUUGUUUGAACGAGAGCAACAACUUAUAUCUAUUUCUCUCUUAGUUUAUAUCUGCUGCUUAUCGUCUAAAGGGAAUGGAAUCGAUUGGGUCUUAGGUGUAUUGGUUAGGAUUAUUAGGAAAUGGAAUCGAGUCAUGGAUUUAAUAAACUAUAACAAGAUGAGUUAUUAGUGCUAUCCGUGUCCAUCAUAGUCCGGCUAAUGUGGUUUUUUUUUUUGUUACAAGUGCUUCCUUGUGUUUGUAGAUAUGCCUCAAUGAACUAUAUUAGUAUAUUGUUGAUUUCAUAGUUUCCUGUUAAUGAAGUUCUGAUUGGCUAAUUUAUAUGAAUUCAAAUGAAAGAAGAUCCUAAUUUUGCUCUGUUAUUUUGUCAUUCUGUUCCAUAGGCUUGGCUUAUGGUAACCAAUUUCUGUAAUAAGCUUAAGCUAUUCGGAACAGACAAUGUGUGUCAAGCUCCCGUACCCUUCCUUACAUGUGGCCCAUUGCUCUCACAUGAAGAGCCAGACAAAAUGAAGGCGCAGAUUAUGGGGAAACAACUGUUGCUGCUGUAGCUGCUGCCACUGCGGCUCGUUCACCACGACUAUCUGUGGUAUUCUCGUCGAAAGAUGAUAACGGUAACAGUCCACUGCAGAAACUUCAGCCACCAUGUUUCUAGAGUGCUGAAAGGCUUCUCACAAACUCCUGAAGUGCAAAAUGGAACUUACAACCCUGAAGUACUAACUAGCUAGCCAAAAGCGUCAAUGGGCACGCUUUCAGUUGCAGUCCCUGGAUCAUAGGCCUUUGAAAGAGCAAUCAAGGCUUUUUGAGAGCUUUGUGGUUGUUGGACUUCACCCUAAUUGUGAUAUUCAGGCACUUCAAAAGCAGUACUUCGGUCGAAAGUCUGAAGGUUCGGGUAAAUUUCGAUGUGGUCAGCAUCAGUCACGUGUAGAAUCUAUCGUUGAACCACAGGUACUGAUUCUUUUAUGGAAAACUUGGAACAUAGUUUAAGACAAUUGAACUGUUUUGAUAUGUGAUGCCUUCUGAUAUGUUUUGAUAUAUGCAUGUUUUUUCAGUUUUCACCAAUGGAGAAAAAGUACUGGGUACCAUGACUAAUAUGUUCAACCAAGUGAACUCCGCUUAACAAAUAUCUGUCUAUAAUCUAUAUUGUCCAAAUCCAUUAUGCUUUCUAGACUAGUAACUUAUUGGCAUAAUAUUUGUGUGUGUACACCUACAUGUUUCUUUCUUUCUCUUUUCUAUUCUAGCAUAAUGAUUGCUAGGUGAAAGAUAUGUAAAAUGAAGUUUUGAUAGUUCAUAAGCGGUGAAAGUACUUUACUAAGUAAUGCAACAAAGUUUUGAUAAAAAGAUCAUGUCAUCCUGGUGAAUGUCCGCUUUGCAAAGUUUUGAUAAAAAGAUCAUGUCACUGUGGUUCCAUGGUUCAUGUUUUUGAGUGCCUAUACUACAACAGCUUGCCCAAAAAAGAACAGAUUGCUGUCUGUCUUAUGGAGGGCCUUGCCAUCGGUAUCCAUGCUUUUUCUGCUCUUUUUUUUUUUUGUCUUCUCACCUUUUUCUCUUUCUUCGGAUCGUUUGGUAUCCCCCACCGUCAACCAAAGCAGGAAAGCUUAUUAUAUCAUAUCUCCGGCCUUGUGGUAUCCUUAAUAAAUCAGAAAAGUUUAUUUUAUCAAGUAGAUACAGCCAGCUGAAUAGAAAGCAUAGAAGACUCUUAUGGUCAAAUUAUAAUGAGGUUACUCUUUGAUUUAUUUUUUUGUGUUGGCAUGCAGGAAAUUACCUUAUUGUAAAUGUCCAUGCCCGGAGAUAUGUCAU